CAUCAUCGCUUGAUUCAAGCAUUGGCUGCAAAGCUUUGAAGGGGCGGCGGAAACGCCGCCCUUUUUUGUGCCCGGC
Molecule: small RNA, 76 nt
Filed under: Allobosea sp. 124
Lineage: Bacteria; Pseudomonadati; Pseudomonadota; Alphaproteobacteria; Hyphomicrobiales; Alloboseaceae
Description: Bosea sp. 124 suhB
Source: RNAcentral